AUACGGAGGGUGCAAGCGUUGUUCGGAAUUACUGGGCGUAAAGCGCGCGUAGGCGGUCUGUUAUGUCAGAUGUGAAAGUCCUCGGCUCAACCGGGGAAGUGCAUUUGAAACUGGCAGACUUGAGUACUGGAGGGGGUGGUGGAAUUCCCGGUGUAGAGGUGAAAUUCGUAGAUAUCGGGAGGAAUACCGGUGGCGAAGGCGACCACCUGGCCAGAUACUGACGCUGAGGUGCGAAAGCGUGGGGAGCAAACAGGAUUAGAUACCCGUGUAGUCC
RNAcentral lists this ribosomal RNA (274 nucleotides) under uncultured bacterium. Its description in RNAcentral is "partial 16S ribosomal RNA". It matches the Rfam family "Bacterial small subunit ribosomal RNA", at positions 523 to 796 of the family's 1533-position model. The record is from RNAcentral.